RNAcentral lists this ribosomal RNA (443 nucleotides) under uncultured bacterium. RNAcentral describes it as "SSU rRNA". It matches the Rfam family "Bacterial small subunit ribosomal RNA", at positions 26 to 518 of the family's 1533-position model. The record is from RNAcentral.
AGAACGAACGCUGGCGGCAGGCUUAACACAUGCAAGUCGAGCGCCCCGCAAGGGGAGCGGCAGACGGGUGAGUAACGCGUGGGAACAUACCCUCCGGUUCGGAAUAGCUCAGGGGAAACUUGGAUUAAUACCGGAUACGGCCUAGCGGCGAAAGAUUCAUCGCCGGAGGAUUGGCCCGCGUCUGAUUAGCUAGUUGGUGGGGUAAUGGCCCACCAAGGCGACGAUCAGUAGCUGGUCUGAGAGGAUGAUCAGCCACAUUGGGACUGAGACACGGCCCAAACUCCUACGGGAGGCAGCAGUGGGGAAUAUUGGACAAUGGGCGCAAGCCUGAUCCAGCCAUGCCGCGUGAGUGAUGACGGCCUUAGGGUUGUAAAGCUCUUUCGCUAGGGACGAUAAUGACGGUAUCUAGACAAGAAGCCCGGUAACUUCGCGCCAGCAGCCGC